CCUACGGGAGACAGCAGUGGGGAAUAUUGCACAAUGGGGGAAACCCUGGUGCAGCAACGCCGCGUGAGUGAAGAAGGAUUUCGGGAUGGAAAGCUCUAUCAGCAGGGAAGAAGAUGACGGUACCUGAAUAAGAAGCCCCGGCUAACUACGGGCCAGCAGCCGCGGUAAUACGUAGGGGGCAAGCGUUAUCCGGAUUUACUGGGUGUAAAGGGAGCGCAGACGGCAGUGCAAGUCGGGAGGGAAAGCCCGGGGCCCAACCCCGGAACUGCUCGGGAAACUGUGCGGCUAGAGUACUGGAGGGGCAGGCGGAAUUCCUCGUGUCGCGGUGCACUGCGUAGAUAUUAGGCGGAACCCCAGUGGCGAAGUCGGCCUGCUGGACAGUAACUGACGUUGCGGCUCGAAAGCGUGGGGAGCAAACAGGAUUAGAUACCCCUGUAGUC
Molecule: ribosomal RNA, 440 nt
Filed under: uncultured bacterium
Lineage: Bacteria
Description: partial 16S ribosomal RNA
Rfam family: Bacterial small subunit ribosomal RNA
Source: RNAcentral